UGAAGGUUUGGUCCUGGCCUUAGUAUUAAUUGUAACCAGAAUUAUACAUGCAAGUUUCAGCAUCCCUGUGAAAAUGCCCUAACUACUCUGUCAAUUAGUUAGGAGCGGGUAUCAGGCACACAUACAUGUGGCCCAAGACACCUUGCUAAGCCACACCCCCAAGGGAUUUCAGCAGUAAUAAAUAUUGAUUAUAUGAGCGCAAGCUCGAAUCAGUUAAAGUUAACAGAGUUGGUCAAUCUCGUGCCAGCCACCGCGGUUAUACGAGUAACUCACAUUAAUACUCCCCGGCGUAAAGAGUGAUUUAAGGAACAUCUAACAACAACUAAAGUUCAGACCUUAUCAAGCUGUCACACGCACCCACAAGCGGAAUUAUCAACAACGAAAGUGACUUUACCCCACUAGAAAUCUUGAUGUCACGACAGUUAGACCCCAAACUAGGAUUAGAUACCCUACUAUGUCUAACCACAAACUUAAACAAUAGUUCACUAUAUUGUUCGCCAGAGUACUACAAGCGCUAGCUUAAAACCCAAAGGACUUGGCGGUGUCCCAAACCCACCUAGAGGAGCCUGUUCUGUAACCGAUAAUCCCCGUUAAACCUCACCACUUCUAGCCAUUCCCGUCUAUAUACCGCCGUCGUCAGCUCACCCUGUGAAGGCUUAAAAGUAAGCAAAAAGAACCAACUUCCACACGUCAGGUCGAGGUGUAGCGAAUGAAGUGGAUAGAAAUGGGCUACAUUUUCUAUAAAGAAAACACGAAUGGUAAACUGAAAAAUUACCUAAAGGUGGAUUUAGCAGUAAGAAAAGACUAGAGAGCUUCUCUGAAACCGGCUCUGGGACGCGCACACACCGCCCGUCACUCUCCUCGAAAAAAAUCUACUUAUUUUUAAUUAAAGAAAAAUGCCAAGAGGAGGCAAGUCGUAACAUGGUAAGUGUACUGGAAAGUGCACUUGGAAU
RNAcentral lists this non-coding RNA (953 nucleotides) under Isurus oxyrinchus (shortfin mako shark). Its description in RNAcentral is "12S ribosomal RNA". It matches the Rfam family "Bacterial small subunit ribosomal RNA". Lineage: Eukaryota; Metazoa; Chordata; Chondrichthyes; Lamniformes; Lamnidae. The record is from RNAcentral.